RNAcentral lists this ribosomal RNA (708 nucleotides) under Vreelandella aquamarina. Its description in RNAcentral is "bacterial SSU rRNA". It matches the Rfam family "Bacterial small subunit ribosomal RNA", at positions 74 to 782 of the family's 1533-position model. The record is from RNAcentral. Lineage: Bacteria; Pseudomonadati; Pseudomonadota; Gammaproteobacteria; Oceanospirillales; Halomonadaceae.
UCCAGCUUGCUGGAUGCUGACGAGCGGCGGACGGGUGAGUAAUGCAUAGGAAUCUGCCCGAUAGUGGGGGAUAACCUGGGGAAACCCAGGCUAAUACCGCAUACGUCCUACGGGAGAAAGGGGGCUCCGGCUCCCGCUAUGGGAUGAGCCUAUGUCGGAUUAGCUAGUUGGUGAGGUAACGGCUCACCAAGGCCACGAUCCGUAGCUGGUCUGAGAGGAUGAUCAGCCACAUCGGGACUGAGACACGGCCCGAACUCCUACGGGAGGCAGCAGUGGGGAAUAUUGGACAAUGGGGGAAACCCUGAUCCAGCCAUGCCGCGUGUGUGAAGAAGGCCCUCGGGUUGUAAAGCACUUUCAGCGAGGAAGAACGCCUAACGGUUAAUACCCGCUAGGAAAGACAUCACUCGCAGAAGAAGCACCGGCUAACUCCGUGCCAGCAGCCGCGGUAAUACGGAGGGUGCAAGCGUUAAUCGGAAUUACUGGGCGUAAAGCGCGCGUAGGUGGCUUGAUAAGCCGGUUGUGAAAGCCCCGGGCUCAACCUGGGAACGGCAUCCGGAACUGUCAAGCUAGAGUGCAGGAGAGGAAGGUAGAAUUCCCGGUGUAGCGGUGAAAUGCGUAGAGAUCGGGAGGAAUACCAGUGGCGAAGGCGGCCUUCUGGACUGACACUGACACUGAGUGCGAAAGCGGUGGGUAGCAAACAGGAUUAGA